UCAUCAGAAGAGCUCCAGUUGGAGCCCAGGAAGAGACAACAGAAGGCUGGGACCAGGCGGGCUGGCUAGAGACAUGAGGAGCUCGGAGGGUGAGGAACGCUAAGAUGAGGAAAACAGAACCCCUACCCACAAGGUGGUAAGAACACAAAGAACUAUAAAUACCAAUGCCUCUGUGUAUUUGGGGAUUUUACUUUAGGCCACUGAUAAGGAUAUGUAAGAGUUAAUGUUCAUAUAUAGUUGAGGGAAUCAGGGAAGGUUUCUUGGAUAAAAAGACAUUUGGUAUGUA
This 286-nucleotide long non-coding RNA is filed under the name Bos indicus x Bos taurus (hybrid cattle). RNAcentral's name for it is "lncRNA (ENSBIXG00000026376.1)". Lineage: Eukaryota; Metazoa; Chordata; Mammalia; Artiodactyla; Bovidae. The record is from RNAcentral.